UUUUUUCGUUUGUAUCUUCCUCUCUUCUCUUUAAUCUUGUCUCUUCUCCUCCAUAAAGAAGACAAAGAAGCUUCCUCCAUGGCGCCUGCCAAGGUCACCGUAGCUUUUGCACACGCCUCACCCAGCCAACGAGAACGUCGUCACGUCAGAGAACGUCUCCGUCUUCCUCGUUCCAGAGAGCGUCGCCGUCUUCCUCAUUUUUCAUCAUCGUCGUCAGCCUCUCCCUUCCGGGAGUUUCACCAAAUUCGAAAUCACAAGUGAAAGCUGUGUGCAAUCAGAUUUGUAAUGCUCAACAGGCACCAAGUUUGCAACCUUUGUCUUUUGAACAUGUUCAUUCAAAAGAAGCUAACAUAUUGGCUAUUUUAGAGUUGACUCGUGCUCUUGACAAGAAGGUACUACCUGCAGCAAUCUCUGUUUCCCAUUUUUGGUGUAACCAAAAUAAGAAGAAACUAUAUGCCUUUGUCAUGGCCUUCUUUUAAGGUUAGUUUUAAGCUGAUAAUUUGAAUAUUCAGGAACUUGUGAUUAAAGUUAGUUUAGUUUCAUUGCCUUAACUUUCGAUUAAAUCUUGUGUUGCAAAUUGAUGAUGGCUUUUAACUCAUUCUUACUUUGAUCCCAGCCCCCUAUGCUACUUCUACUACAUGCCACCCUUUUCUUCUUUAUGAGAAGAGAAAAAACAAAGAUCUGCUGCAGGAGUGCAAUUUGCAGAUUGUGAAUGUCACAACUCCUGCUAACUUCUUUCAUGUUUUGCAGAGAGAGGAUGUUGCAAUAUGCUAAGGUUUGGUGAACUACAGGUGUCCUUUGGAAUUGAGCUUCUGUGUGGAAUCAAUGCUGCCUUACCAUACGGCCACUGCAUCAGCACUAAUGACUUCCAUGCUUGCUGUCUCUCGCCGCAGUUAUGGUUAGCUCUCGGAAGGUAUCUUAUCUUACUCUAAAGCAGUUGCUUCUUUAGUUAUUAUGAAGAGGUUCAAUUGAUUUUAUUAAAAUGGCUUUGGUUCAGUGGCAUUGUUUUUGGGAGAUAUCUCUUGUCACAUUAUAUUGUAGGUAGCACUCCAUGCAUUUAAUGUGCAUAUUCUGUUUCAGUAACUGUGUUCUUUUGCAAAUGGCCUACAAAACGUUGUUAAUUCCCCGUUUUAUUAGAAUUUUUAGUAUUGAUGCUCAUGCCAUAUGGUUGGAAGAUGUGAUAUGAGAUUUUGAAAGAGUAUGAGAAAGACUUUUGAAGAUAUUUGCAGUUUAUAUUUGAGGAAAAGAGUAUUGUGUAAUGUGGUUCUCCUCUUUGGGUCACCUGGUUUGUGCUCAUUUUAAUUGCCUGACAGUUGGAUUUUACUUUUGAAUUAGGUAGAUAAACAUCUGUGUCAUUCCUUAUGUUCUUUCUUCAAUUUGAUUUUCCGGUAAGUGAGUGUUUCUUAUUAAUUCUCUGGUUCAACUUAAUAGGUUCUUGUGAAAUUUAGUGAAAAAAACUGUGUCUAAUGCUUGAUUAGGUGUUUCUCGAUCUAUUAAUUCUGUAUCUAGGAUAUUUAUAGGGCGAUCUAGGAACAUAGCGAAUCGCAAGCUUGGCCGCAGAGGAUCUCAUCUCUCAAAACUGAGCACUACUGUUAUCAGAGAAACUCCACAAAAAUCAAGUUCAAGAGUCCACAAUUGUGGAACACUGUACAGGCCAACUCUGCUGAAGGAAGAAGUGGCAGUCAUGAAUUAAGUUUUUUUUUUUUAAUUAUUUUUCUUUGUUAGUUCUAGAAUUAGACCGCUAUAUAGAUGAUGCUUAAGUAGCAAGUUCCUUUAUUACUAAAUUUCAUAUGGGGUAUUCGACCUCUUUUCUUUUGAAAUUUCAAAACAUUUCAACCAUAUAAAAUGUAUCAUUCUUUGUAGGUCAAAUAUCUCAGUUUUAUUCGAUGGUUACACUUAAAUUAUCCAA
Molecule: non-coding RNA, 1909 nt
Organism: Arachis ipaensis
Lineage: Eukaryota; Viridiplantae; Streptophyta; Magnoliopsida; Fabales; Fabaceae
Source: RefSeq, a predicted model, not a curated record